Molecule: ribosomal RNA, 497 nt
Filed under: uncultured bacterium
Lineage: Bacteria
Description: partial 16S ribosomal RNA
Rfam family: Bacterial small subunit ribosomal RNA
Source: RNAcentral
GAUGAACGCUGGCGGCGUGCCUAAUACAUGCAAGUCGAGCGAACAGACGCGGAUCUUGCUCCUCUGACGUUAGCGGCGGACGGGUGAGUAACACGUGUAUACCCUACCUAUAAGACUGGUAUAACUUCGGGAAACCGGAGCUAAUACCGUAUAAUAUAUUGAACCGCAUGGUUCAAUAGUGAAAGUCGGUUUUUCUGUCACUUAUCGAUGGAUCCGCGCCGCAUUAUCUAGUUGGUAAGGUAACGGCUUACCAAGGCAACGAUGCGUAGCCGACCUGAGAGGGUGAUCGGCCACACUGGAACUGAGACACGGUCCAGACUCCUACGGGAGGCAGCAGUAGGGAAUCUUCCGCAAUGGGCGAAAGCCUGACGGAGCAACGCGGCGUGAGUGAUGAAGGUCUUCGGAUCGUAAAACUCUGUUAUUAGGGAAGAACAAAUGUGUAAGUAACUAUGCACGUCUUGACGGUACCUAAUCAGAAAGCCACGGCUAACUACGUG